AUGUACCACUCGUGCACUCACUGCGGUUCCUACGCGCUGUCUGCACCCGCUGGUCACUGCGCGCUACGUUUUGUUUGCA
This 79-nucleotide small RNA is filed under the name Xanthomonas arboricola. RNAcentral's name for it is "sRNA sX9". It matches the Rfam family "Xanthomonas sRNA sX9". Lineage: Bacteria; Pseudomonadati; Pseudomonadota; Gammaproteobacteria; Lysobacterales; Lysobacteraceae. The record is from RNAcentral.